Molecule: small nucleolar RNA, 188 nt
Filed under: Sinocyclocheilus anshuiensis
Lineage: Eukaryota; Metazoa; Chordata; Actinopteri; Cypriniformes; Cyprinidae
Description: Small nucleolar RNA U3 (ENSSANG00000017062.1)
Rfam family: Small nucleolar RNA U3
About the family: Small nucleolar RNAs (snoRNAs) are involved in the processing and modification of rRNA in the nucleolus. There are two main classes of snoRNAs: the box C/D class, and the box H/ACA class. U3 snoRNA is a member of the box C/D class.
Source: RNAcentral
UAGUUCUUGACUAGGAAAUGUGUUUCGAAAGAGUUACGUCUCCCACACCACGAUGAAGAGUCUCGAUACUCUCUUCUGAGCGUGAAUCGGGUGUAGAGUAAUGAUUUGUUUCAUACGCAAUGCAUCAUUGAUGAACGUUCCUUAUUGCUAUUAUGCAGUUUGGAGGAAGAGAGUAUGAUCAGAGUGGU